Molecule: long non-coding RNA, 223 nt
Filed under: Helianthus annuus (common sunflower)
Lineage: Eukaryota; Viridiplantae; Streptophyta; Magnoliopsida; Asterales; Asteraceae
Description: hypothetical non coding rna
Source: RNAcentral
AGCAACGCUAUAUAGAUCUCCCAAGCAAGUUGAAUACCCAGGUGGUGGAGAAGGUUUUGUGUCCGGGCAAUAAGUUCCAUAACUGUUCUCUUGAGCCCCCGAUGCAGUUGUGGCAUAUAUGUUAAGAUCUUGUGGAACGUAUAUGUUGAGAUCUUCAGGCAGCAAGCCUUCAAAGAUGCUUCCACUUUCACAUGCUUCCAAAUAUAUAACCUACAAUAACUAG